AACAUAGCCAGAAGAGGAUAUUUUUGGUUUAACCUGCCCAAUGUGUUAGGAUGAAUGGCCGCGGUACUCUGACCGUGCUAAGGUAGCGUAAUCAGUUGGCUUUUAAAUGGAGUCAGGUAUGAAUGGAAUAACCUGGUUUAGCUGUCUCCGAGCCAAUCAAUUGAAUUUACUGUUUAAGUGAAAAAGCUUAAACAACAAAAGGGGACGAGAAGACCCUUAGAAUUUUUUUUAAAAAGGUUUAGCUUUGUGAUUUUGUUGGGGCGACAGAGAAAAAUUUACAACUUUCCAUCCAGAACAAGCCGAAUUUUAAGUGAGAAUAAAUUACCUGAGGGAUAACAGCAUAAUUCUACAAGUGAGUUUGUGACCUCGAUGUUGGACUAGGAAACUAGCAGAUUAGCCGUUUGUUGUGUUGGUUCUGUUCGAACUUUAAUUCCU
RNAcentral lists this ribosomal RNA (435 nucleotides) under Caloria sp. 4 LC-2013. Its description in RNAcentral is "partial 16S ribosomal RNA". It matches the Rfam family "Archaeal large subunit ribosomal RNA", at positions 1904 to 2665 of the family's 2987-position model. The record is from RNAcentral. Lineage: Eukaryota; Metazoa; Mollusca; Gastropoda; Nudibranchia; Facelinidae.